Molecule: ribosomal RNA, 633 nt
Filed under: Clostridioides difficile
Lineage: Bacteria; Bacillati; Bacillota; Clostridia; Peptostreptococcales; Peptostreptococcaceae
Description: partial 23S ribosomal RNA
Rfam family: Bacterial large subunit ribosomal RNA
Source: RNAcentral
CAGGUGGGUGAGGAGAGUAUCCUAAGGCCAGCGAGAGAACUGUUGUUAAGGAACUCGGCAAAAUGACCCCGUAACUUAGGGAUAAGGGGUGCCACCAUCAGGUGGCCGCAGAGAAUAGGCCCAAGCGACUGUUUACCAAAAACAUAGGUUUCUGCUAAGUCGCAAGACGAUGUAUAGGAGCUGACGCCUGCCCGGUGCUGGAAGGUUAAGGGGAUCUGUUAGAGCAAUCGAAGCAGUGAACUUAAGCCCCAGUAAACGGCGGCCGUAACUAUAACGGUCCUAAGGUAGCGAAAUUCCUUGUCGGGUAAGUUCCGACCCGCACGAAAGGCGUAACGAUUUGGGCACUGUCUCAACAACAGACUCGGUGAAAUUGUAAUUCCGGUGAAGAUGCCGGAUACCUGCGACAGGACGGAAAGACCCCAUGGAGCUUUACUGUAGCUUGACAUUGGGUCUUGGUACUACAUGUACAGGAUAGGUGGGAGGCUUUGAAACCAGGACGCCAGUUUUGGCGGAGCCAUCCUUGGGAUACCACCCUUGUAGUACUGGGACUCUAACCAUAGGCCAUGAAUCUGGUCUUGGGACACUGUCAGGUGGGCAGUUUGACUGGGGCGGUCGCCUCCCAAAAGGUAACGG